This 437-nucleotide long non-coding RNA is filed under the name Pan troglodytes (chimpanzee). RNAcentral's name for it is "long non-coding RNA NONPTRT001816". Lineage: Eukaryota; Metazoa; Chordata; Mammalia; Primates; Hominidae. The record is from RNAcentral.
CUCGGAUUCAUCAGAUUCUCUACUUGCGUCAUUUGCAAUGGAAAGACCCUCCCACAAGCAAAACCAUAUUCCUGCUGCUGUCAGUUAUGAUGCACUGAGAAAACUUCAGAGACCUAAACUUUUUCCAGAGAAGAGAAGCUUUACUGGUGUUCCAGCCCUAAGCAACCAUCUUUCCUGUGAAAAAUUCCCUCUCCUAGUACUUUAGUUCUGUGGAUCCAAAAUUUAUAGCAUUCUUCUACCACCACAGGGGCUAUAUGACAUUGACAGACAAGACACUUUUCAGAAAGACAGGUAAGUCAUUUGUUAAAAUCUUACUACUGUUGUUUAACAGAAACAUAUAUAUGCAUGUCUAUGUGUGUACUGUAUGGAAAAAGUGGAAUUAGAGUUUAUCUAGAAAAGAAAAAAUUACCUCAUCUAAGUGCAGAAAUGAAUAAUAC